GACAAUUUAGGACAUGGACCAACCGGGUUUGGUCAAGAGAGUCGGUUCAACAUUCAAAUUCAUAAAUUAAUACUUGCACUGAAGCUAAGAUAAUACAUUGGUAGCUGUGACUUGUGAGAGGGGAGAAGUCAAGAUCAAAUUAAUUAAAGGGAAAACAAUUAAACCGCAUCUCAAGUGGAGUAGUAUAUAUUUAAUGAUGAUUUUGAUCGAUUGGCCCAGUGUGCACUAGCGUAGAGUGAGGAUGGUUGAUGGGGAACACAUGUGACUCACAUUCAUUAAAAGUCAAAACAAAUUUAAUUUGUAUCAUGAAUUCAUGAUGACAAAGUACACUACUUCUACAUCUUAAUUAGUCCUCCUCCUCCUCCACUCGAUUCUUAUUUUUUAUGCUUUUGGG
This 394-nucleotide long non-coding RNA is filed under the name Panax ginseng (ginseng). Its description in RNAcentral is "long non-coding RNA (PGIN_LNC019031)". Lineage: Eukaryota; Viridiplantae; Streptophyta; Magnoliopsida; Apiales; Araliaceae. The record is from RNAcentral.